AUGGUGACCGCGGAGGAAGACUUGCGUUGGGCCCAAUGGCCCUGGGCCAGUGUCCAUCAGCCAGGUGCCAGCCCCUGGUGCGCUGAAGCUCAGGCCCUUCCCGGCGCCCUGGCCUCCUGCACUGAGCUGUGUGAGCUCUUCCGCCCAGGCAGCGCCCUGGCAUUGACUGGCAUAGGUGAGUGGAUCCUGCUGGGGUCAUGGGCCAUGAGCCAGGCUGGUGGGGUCACCAAGUGUCAGCCUUUGGGACAGGAGGGUUUCCUUAGGGAGCCGACCUGACCUGAAUCCCCACUGAGGAGGGCUAGGUUCUCCAGGAGGGCGGCUUCCUUGGGAAUCUGACCCAAGGAGGUUAUCUUCUCUAAAGCCUUGCAGCGGUGAUGGUGGUCCAGGCAGCAAAGGAUUCCUUCAACCCCACCCAGGGCAGUGCCCAGCUGAGACUCAGUGGGCAGGUCUGGCCUUGAGGACUGCCCAGGCCACAUGAGGGGGUCCAUAGGAGCUCCAGGGCACCACAGGGGUCACACAGGAGCUCUCCUUCCCCAGAGACGGGUGAGCGAUCGAGUCCAUGGGGUCAGGCCUUUGGAGAUUCAAGGAGUGGGCCCCACCUAGGACCCUGAAUGGGACCGAGCCUUUGAGCAAUGGGCCAUCCCAGUGGUGCCUGUGAGCCUAGUGGGGGGCGAUGCGGCUUCAAGGGGGUUGGGUCAAGGCUGAGCUCUGGCCGGUACUUGGUAGUGCUGCAGGCUGGCCCUGGGACUUGCUGGCUUUGGGCAAAAGGGCCAGCCUGCAUCCUGCUGGUGGUCACCCAUUCCCCAUGGGCAACUAGCGGAAAGCUGGCAUCCUUAGGUGGGAAGGCCCGCUGUCAAGGGUCCUGUCCUGGAAGUUUGCUUCCCAGGCUGCUUCUGAUCCAUGGACUCACCUCCAGGGUGGUGGGGUCUUGAGCCCGAGGAAAGGAGAAGAUACCAUGUGUUCCCCGAUUGGCCGAAUGUGGCUCGGCUCUGUGUUUGGGAGGUGUGUAGGGCAUGGAUGGGGACCCAUCAGAGAACACAUGUGGCCCGGGGUCACAGGUUGCGAUUUCCCAUGCACACUUGGAGAGAACGCUGGGUGGGUGCCCUCCACUCCCAGGCACAGGCUAUGCAACUACCAGGUCUGCGGUGGCAUGUGGCUUCCAGGUCAGCCCCCUUGGUGGGCCAUGAGCAGGUUGGUUGCCCUCGCCUGUGCCCAGUGGUCUCGGAGUGGCCCAGGGGUCCUGUGGGGGAGCUGAUGUGGGUAAUGGAGGUGCUUGUGGGGCCUGCAAUAGAGCGCAGCCCAGGUGUCUUGUGGGAGCUCGGUGACCCACCUGCCCUGACCUAGGGUGCGGUGAUGGGGAGGGCCAAGGGUCCCCUGUGUCUGUAAUGGGUCAGUGUUCCCAUCACAUGGGUCCAUGGAGGGACAGCAUGCAUGAGCACCACCCACCACCAUCCCCCUAUGGAGGCGUGAGGCCAUGUUUGGACACAUGUCUUCCUGUCCCCCAGACGGUGAGCCUGGAGGAAGACUUGCCUUGGGUCCGCUGUCCCUGGGCCAGUGUCCAUCAGCCAGGUGCCCAGUCCCCAGUGCGCUGAAGCUCGGCCCUCCCUGGCACUCUGGUCUCCUGCACUGAGCUGUGUGAGCUCUUCCGCCCAGGAGGACCCCUGGCCUUGAGUGGCAUAGAUGGUGACCCUGAAGGAGGACUUGCAUUGGGCCCAAUGGCCCAGGGCCAGUGUCUGUCAGCCAGGUGCCCAGCCCCUGGCGCACUGAAGUUUUGGCCCUUCCUGGCUCUCUGGUCUCUUGCACUGAGCUGUGUGAGCUCUUCCAGGAGGGCCCCCUGGCAUUGACUGGCAUAGGUGAGUGGAUCCAACUGGCAUCAUGGGCCAUGGGCCAGGCUGCGUGGGGUCGCCAAGGGUCAGCCUUCGGGAAAGAAGGGUUUCCUUGGGGAGCCAACCUGAAUCCCCACUGGGAAGAGAUGGGUUCUCCAGGAGGGUGGCUUCCUGGGGAACAGGAACCAAGGGGGAUGCCUUCCCUGAAGCCCUGCAGGGGUGACGGUGGUCCAGGCAGGAAAGGGUUCCUUCAGUUCCACCCACAGCAGCUCCCAGCUGAGUCUCGGGGCUUGCAUCUGGACUGUCCUGACUAUAUGUGGGGGCCACAGGGGCUCUGGGGUGCCUUGGGGGUCACACAGGAGCUCUCUGUCCCUGGAGAAAGGUAAAGGUGGGUGAUCAGGCCCAUGGAGUUGAGCUGUGGAGAUUCAAGUAUCGCACCUGACACAUGGCCCUGAAUGGAACCCACCCUGUUGAGCAAUGGGCCAACCCAUGGGCCUCUUCGAGCCUGACAGGGGGCGGUGCUGUUUCACUGGGGUUAGAUCGAGGCUAAGCUCUGGCUGGCGCCUGGUGGUGCUGCAGUCCGGCCCUUGGACUCAUGGGCUUUGGGCCAAGGGGGCAGCCUGUGUCCCACUGAAAGUCACCGCUUCCCUGUGGCUGGAAGUUAUCCCUUCCCAGUGGGCUAGUGUCAGGAAGGGUGGCCUCCUGAAGUGGGAAGGCCCGCUAUUGAGGGUCUGGUCCUGGAAAUUUGCUGCCCAUGCUGCUUCUGAAUCCUGAAGACACCUCCAGUGUGGUGAGGUCCUAAGCCCGAGGAAAGGAGAAGACACUGUGCCCUCCGAUUAGUUGAGUGCAGCCAGGCUGUGUGUUUGUGAGGUGUGAGGGCAUGGAUGGAGACUCACCAGAGAAAGCACAUGGCCCUGGGACCCCAGGUUGUGAUUUCCAGUACAUGCUUGGAUACAGCACGUGGGUGGGUGCCCACCAUACACAGGGACUGGCUAUGUGACUGCCAGCUCUGCAGCAGCAUCAGGUAUCCGGGCCAGUCUCCUUGGUUGACCAUGAACUGUUGGUGGCCCUGGCCUGUGCCCGGUAGUCCUGGGAUGACCCUGGUAUCAUGCAGGGGAGCUGGCAUGUGUAGUGGAGGCGCCUGUGUGGCCUGCAGUAGGAUGCAGCCCUGGCUUGUAGCCUGAGCCCAGUGACCUACCUGUCCUGUCGUUUCAGGGUUCAGUGGUGGAGACAGCGUUGGGUGCCCUGCGUCUGUGACGGGCCAGUAUUCCACAUGGAUCUCAUCACAUGGUCCAUGGAAGGCGAGCAUCCCUGAGCUGGCACACCCCACCUUCUGCCCACAUGGAGGGGUGAGGUUGUGUUUGGACACCUGUCCUCUUCCUGUUCCUCGAGAUGGUGACCCCAGAUGAGGACUCGUGUUGGGCCCACUGUCCCCGGGCCAGGGUCCAUCAGCCAGGUGCCUAGCCCCUGUUGCACUGAAGCUCUGGCCCUUCCUGUCACCUUGGUCUCCUGCAUUGAGCUUGGGUGAGCCCAUCGGGGUGCCACUGGAUGCCUAAGCAGGGAGGGGGUGCCCUGGGUUGGGUCGAUGAUGAGAACUUUAUAUUGUUCUGAAGAGAGGUGAUGACUUAAAAAUCAUGCUCAAUAGGAUUACGCUGAGGCCCAGCCUAGGUGAGAAUUUUGGAAGAGGACACUAGAAUCCUGAGGUCCCUGGCAGGGCCACUGUAUUUUAGGCUGGAGACUUCGAGGCCCUAAAGGGCAUCUCAUGCAGGAGCCCAGCCCUGUCUGUGCUCCUCCAUUAGGCACACCAGGCUUCCUGUGUGGGCUUGGUGUCUGUGCUCAGCUUCCCUGGGGGCGGGACAGGUUGGUGGCUCCUUCCUGAGCCCCAUUAUCCUCGGUGUCUUUCAGUGAGCUCUUCCGCCAAGCAGACCCCCUAGGAUUGACCAGCAUAGGUGAGUGGACAUUGCUGGUGUCAUGGGCCGUGAGCCAAGCGGUGGGCAGUCCCUGAGGGUCAGCCCUCAGGCCACCUGGGUUUCCUCAGGAGUCGACCUGAAUCGACUGGGGAUGUGUCCUCCAGCAGGGAGGCUUCCUUGGGAAUUGGACACAAGGCAGAGGCCUUCUCUGAAGCCCUGCAGGGGUGGCAGUGGUUCAGGCAGGAAAGGGUUUUCUCAGCCCCAUGCAGGGUAGUGCCCAGCUCAGACUUGGUGCUUGGGUCAGGCCUCUAAGAUGGCCAGGACACAUGAGGGGGGCAACAAGGGCUCUGGGGCACCACGGGCAUCUCAUGGGGACUCUCCAACCCUGGAGAGGGGUGGGCGAUUCAGUCCGUGGAGUCGGGCCAUGGAGAUUCAUAGACUGCAGCAAACCCAUGACCCUCAAUGGGACCGACCCUAUAAGCAGUGGACCCUCCCAGUGGCAUGUCUUUGAGCCAUGUGAGAGGCGGCGCUGUUUCUCUGAGGUUGGGUCAAGACUAGCUGUGGCCAGUGCCUGAUGGUGGUCCAGUCUGUCUCUGGGACUUGUGGGCUUUGGGCCAAGGCUGUAGCCCGUAUCCCACUGGGGGUCACCCCUUCCUUGUGGGCGAGUGGCGGUAAUGGUGGCCUCCUGAGGUGGGAAGGUCCACAGUGGAAGGACCUUUCCUGGAAAUUUGCAGUCCAGGCUGCUUCUCAGCCAUCAGGACAACUCAAGAGGUCAGGGUCUUAGGCCCAAAGAAAGGAGAAGACACCGUAUGUCUCCCGGUUGACUGAGUGUGGCCCCGCUCUGUGUGUGGGAGGUAUUGUGUGGGGCGUGGAUUGGGACCCACCAGAGAAAGCUUGUGGCCCUGGAGCCCCAGGCUGUGAUUUCCAGUGGACCUUGAGGAAAGGAGGGUGGGUGCCCUCCAUGCACAGGGCAGGCUGUGCAACUGCCAGGUAGGCAGCAGCCCGUGGUGUCCGGGCCAGCGUCCUUGGUUCGCCGUGAGCUGGUUGGUGUCCAUGGCCCCUGCCCAGGUCCAGGUGCUACCCGGGGUUGUGCAGGGGAACUGGCGUGGGCAAUGGAGGUGCUCGAGGGGCCUGCAGUAGGGCGCAGCCCAGGUGUCUUGCCUGAACCCAGGAAUCCACCUGCCCUGUCUUUCCAUGGUUCAGUGGCUGGGAGGGCAAAGGGUCCCCCCCAUCCAUGACACAUCAGUGUUUUCCAUGGAUCCUAUCACAUGGGUCCACAGAGAGAGAGCAUGUGUGAGCUAGCACCCCCCACCCCCUUCCCCGUGUGGAGGCCCGAGCCCCUGGUUGGACACAUGUCCUCCUCCUGUCCCCCCAGAUGGUGACUGCAAAGGAAGACUUGCUUUGGGACCACUGGCCCCAGGCCAGUGUCCAUCAGCCAGGUGUCCAGCCCUUGGUGCACUUAAGCUCAAGCCCUUCCUGAUGCCCUGGUCUCCUGCCCUGAGCUGUGUGAGCUCUUCUGCCCAGGGGGACCCCUGGCCUUAAGUGGGAUAGGUAAGUGGAUCCUGCUGGGGUCAUGGACCAUGAGCCAGGUCGCUUUGGGUCACUGAGGGUCACCCUUCAGGCCACGAGGGAUUCCUCAGGGAGCCCAUCUGAAACCCACCAGGGAUGGAUGGUUUCUUCAGGAGGACAGCUUCCUUAGUAAUUGGUCCCAAGAAGGAUGCCUUCCCUGAAGCCGUGCAGAGAUGACAGAGGUCCAAACAGGAGAGGGUUCCUUCAACUCAACGCAGUGCGUGUUCUAGCUGAGACUCAGUGCACAAGUCAGGCCUGGAGGGCUUUCCAGGCCACAUGAGGGGGUCCACAGGGUCACUGGGGGCAAUGGGUGUUUUGCGGGAGCCCUCGGUCCCCGAGGCUUGCAAAGGGGCAGGGUGUGGGUGAUCGGGCUUAUGGAGUCAGUCCGUGAAGAUUCAAGGACUGGGCCUAACCCAUGGCCCUGAUGGGACUGACCUGUGGAGCAAUGGGCCAUCCCAGUGGUGCCUCCUUGAGCCUGGUGGGGGCGGUGUGGCCCCAGUGGGUUUGGGUCAAGACUGAGCUCUGGCCUUCACCUGGUGGUGCUGCAGGCUGGCCCUGGGAAUCGUGGGCUUUGGGCCAAGGGUGCAGCCUGCGUCCAGCUAUAGGUCACCCCUCCCCGAAGUGGAGUGGCCAGAAGGAUGGCAACCUGUGAUGGAAAGCAUGCUGUCAAGGGUCCUGUGCCGGCAAUUUGCUGCCCAGGCUGCUUCUAAGUCAUGGGGUCACCUCCAGGGUGGCGGGGUCUUGAGCCGAAGGAAAGGCAAGGACAUCAUGUGUCCCUGAUUGAUUGAGCAUGGCCCAGCUCUGCGUUUGGAGGUAUGUGGUGCAUGAAUGGGGACCCAUCAGAGAAGGCACGUGGCCCUGGGGCUCCAGGAUAUGAUUUCUGGUGUGAGCUUGUAGAGGGUGUCUGCUGUGGCACGUAGCAUUCAGGUCAGCCUACUUGGUUUGCUGUGAGCUGGUUGGUGGUCCCGGCCCUGCCCAGUGGUCCCGUUGUGGCACAGAGUCAUGUGGGGGAGCUGGUGUGGGCAGUGGAAGUGCUCCAGGAGCCUGCAAUAGGGUGCAUCCUGGACAUCUUGCUCAAAUCCUGUGACCCGCCUGCCCUGUCCUUUCAGGUUUCCGUGGCAAGGAGGGCCAAGGGUUCCCCGCGUUCUUGACCGUCACUGUUUAUAGGGAUCCCAUCUCUUGAGUCCAUGGAGGGAGAGCGUGUGUUAGCCAGCACCCCCUGUCCACUUUUGUGCAUGGAGGUGUGAGGCCAUAUAUCUACACCUGUCCUCCACCCCUCCAGAUGGUGACCCCAGAGGAAGACAUGCGUUGGGUCUGCUGGCCCCGGGCCAGUGUCUCUCAGCCAGGUGCUCAGCCCCUGGUGAGCUGAAGCUCAGGCCCUUCCUGGCGCCCUGGUCUCCUGCACUGAGCUGUGUGAGCUCGUCUGGCUAGGUGGGGCCCCGAGGCAUUGACUGGCAUAGGUGAGUGGUCCUGCUGGGGUCAUGGGUCAUCAGCAGCGAGGGGUCACCGAGGGUCCACCUUUGAGACAGGAGGGUUUCCAUGGGCAGCCGACCUGAAUCCGCACCAUGGAGGGGUGGGUUGGUCCUCCAAGAGGGCUGCUUUUCUGGGAAUCAGACCCAAGGAGGAUGCCUUCCCUGCAGCCCUGUGGGGAUGAUGGUGGUCCAGGCAGGAAAGGGUUCCUUCAGUCUCACAUAGGGGAGCUCCCAGCUGAGUCUCAGUGCACUGGUCUGGCCUUGACGACUGACCAGGCCACAUGAGGGGGGCCACAGGGGCUUCAGGAUGCCAUGGGGUCACACAGGAUCUCUCCAUCCCCGGAGAAAGGUGGAUUCGAGCUGCAGAGAUUCAAGAAUCACACACAAGUUAUUGCCCUGAAUAGGACCGACCCUGUUGUGCAAUGUGCCAUCCUAGGGCACCUCUUUGAGCCUGAAGGGGGCGGUGCUGUUUCCCUAGGUUUGGGUCAAGGCUGAGCUCUGGCCGGUGCCUGGUGGUGCUAUUGUCCAGUCAUGGGCUCGUUAGUUUUAGGCCAAGGGGUCAGCUCUGUGUCUAAAGGAUCCCCUGUACUGGGGAUCUCCCCUUUCCUGUGGCUAGAAGUCACCCCUUCCCCACUGGCAAGAGUCUCCCCAUUGGCAAGUGUCGGAAAGGGUGGCCUCCUGAGGUGGAAGGCGUGCUGUCAAGGGUCUUGUCCCUAGAAUAUGCUGCCCAUGCUGCUUCUGAGCCACGGGGUCACCUCCAGGGUAGCGGGUCUUGGGCCCAAGAAAAGGAGAAGUCACCAUGUGUCCCCGAUUAGCUGAGUGUGGUCCUGCUCUGUGUUUAGGAGGUGCGUGGGGCAUGGAUGGGGACCCACCAGAGAAAGCAUGUGGCCCUGGGACCCCAGGUUGCGAUUUCCAUUUCAUGCUGGGAUAGGGCACCUGGGUGGGUGCCCACAGUGCACAGGGAUAGGCUAUGUGACUUGCAGGUCUGCAGCAGCAUCUGGCACCCGGACCAGCCUCCUUGGUUGGCUGUGAGCUGAAUGGUAGCCCUGGCCUGUGCCCAGUACAUCUGGUAUGACCCUGGGGUCCUGUAGGGGAGCCAGCAUGGGCAGUGGAGGUGCUCAUGGGACCUGCAGUAGGACACAGUCGGGGCUUCUUGCCCGAGCCCAGUGACCUGCCUAUCCUGUCUUUCCAGGGUUCGGUGGCUGAGAGAGCAUUGGGUGCCCUGAGUCCAUGAUGGGCCAGUGUUCCACGUGCAUCCCAUCACAUGGGUCCAUGGAGGAUGUUGAGCCCGGAGGAAGACUUUGCACUGGGCCCAAUGGCCCCAGGUCAGCGUCCGUCAGCCAGGUGCCCAGCCUCUGGUGCACUGAAGAUCAGGCCCUUCCUGGCACCUUGGUCUCCUGCACUGAGCUGUGUGAGCUCUUCCACAUGGGAGGGCCCCCUGGCAUUCACUGGCAUAGGUGAGUGGCUUGUAUCAUGGGCCUUGAGCCAGGCCGCGUGGGGUCAUCAAGGGUCAGCCUUUGGGAAAGAAGGGUUCCUCAGGGAGCCAACCUGAAUCCCCACUGGGAAGAGAUGGGUUCUCCAGGAGGGUGGCUUCCUGGGGAACAGGAACCAAGGGGGAUGCCUUCCCUGAAGCUCUGCAGUGGUGACGGUGGUCCAGGCAGGAAAGGGUUCCUUCAGUUCCACCCACGGCAGCUCCCAGCUGAGUCUCGGUGCUUGCGUCUGGACUCGAGGACUGUCCUGGCCGUAUGAGGGGGGCCACAGGAGCUCUGGGGUGCCAUAGGGAUCCCACAGGUGCUCUCUGUCCCUGGAGAAAGGUGGGUGAUCGGGCCCAUGGAGUUGAGCUGUUGAGAUUCAAGGAUUGCACCUGACACAUGGCCCUGAAUGGGACCCCCCCGUUAAGCAAUGGGCCAUCCCAUGGGCCUCUUCAAGCCGGAAGGGCGUCGGUGCUGUUUCACUGGGUUUACGUCAAGGCUGAGCUCUGGCUGGCGCCUGGUGGUGCUGCAGUCCAGCCCUUGGACUCAUGGGCUUUGGGCCAAGGGUGCAGCCCACAUCCCGCUGGAAGUCACCCCUUCCCUGUGGCUCGAAGUUAUCCCUUCCCAGUGGGCUAAUGUCGGGAAGGGUGGCCUCCUGGAGUGGGAAGGCCCGCUGUUGAGGGUCUGGUCCUGGAAAUUUGCUGCCCAUGCUGCUUCUGAGCCAUGGAGUCACCAGUGUGGUGGGGUCCUGGGCCCGAGGAAAGGAGAAGACACUGUUCUCCCUGAUUAGUCCGGUGUGGCCAGGCUGUGUGUUUGUGAGGUGUGAGGGCAUGGAUGGAGACUCACCAGAGAAAGCACAUGGCCCUGGGACCCCAGGUUGUGAUUUCCAGUACAUGCUUGGAUACAGCACGUGGGUGGGUGCCCACCAUGCACAGGGACUGGCUAUGUGACUGCCAGCUCUGCAACAGCAUCAGGCAUCCGGGCCAGCCUAUUUGGUUGACCAUGAACUGGUUGGUGGCCCUGGCCUGUGCCCGGUAGUCCUGGAGUGACCCUGGUGUCAUGCAGGGGAGCUGGCAUGUGUAGUGGAGGUGUUUGUGUGGCCUGCAGUAGGAUGCAGCCCUGGCUUGUAGCCUGAGCCCAGUGACCUACCUGUCCUGUCGUUUCAGGGUUCAGUGGUGGAGAGAACAUCAGGUGCCCUGCGUCUGUGACGGGCCAGUAUUCCACAUGGAUCUCAUCACAUGGUCCAUGGAAAGCGAGCAUCCCUGAGCUGGCACACCCCACCUUCUGCCCACAUGGAGGGGUGAGGUUGUGUUUGGACACCUGUCCUCUUCCUGUUCCUCGAGAUGGUGACCCCGGAUGAGGACUCGUGUUGGGCCCACUGUCCCCGGGCCAGGGUCCAUCAGCCAGUGAACUCUUUCACCCAGGAGGACCCCUGGCCUCGAGCGGCAUAGAUGGUGAGCACAGAG
This is a non-coding RNA of Macaca mulatta (Rhesus monkey), 9715 nucleotides long. NCBI's taxonomy places the organism in Eukaryota, Metazoa, Chordata, Mammalia, Primates, Cercopithecidae. The record is from RefSeq and is a predicted model, not a curated record.